RNAcentral lists this ribosomal RNA (210 nucleotides) under uncultured bacterium. Its description in RNAcentral is "partial 16S ribosomal RNA". It matches the Rfam family "Bacterial small subunit ribosomal RNA", at positions 568 to 774 of the family's 1533-position model. The record is from RNAcentral.
AGCGCAGGCGGUUAUUUAAGUCAGGUGUGAAAGCCCCGAGCUCAACUUGGGACGUGCAUUUGAAACUGGAUAACUAGAGUGUGUCAGAGGGGGGUAGGAAUUCCACGUGUAGCAGUGAAAUGCGUAGAGAUGUGGAGGAAUACCGAUGGCGAAGGCAGCCCCCUCGGGAGUAACACUGACGCUCAUGCUCGAAAGCGUGGGUAGCAAACA